Molecule: long non-coding RNA, 563 nt
Organism: Gasterosteus aculeatus aculeatus (three-spined stickleback)
Lineage: Eukaryota; Metazoa; Chordata; Actinopteri; Perciformes; Gasterosteidae
Source: Ensembl
ACACACACACACACACACACACACACACUGACAUUCCAAACAAAGAGGAGAGGUCAUUGCCACCCUGGUCUCUAGGUCCCGGUGCCAUUUUAUCUGCCGAACGUCAGAAAACAUAUUAUACCCAACAGGAUUACAGUGGAAGCUGAUUUCAUCUUUCAGCAGUUAACUGAUGAGAAACGGAGUAGCUCAACACACAGAGCACACGGGCGCCUUUAUAUCCCCGUCUAGUGGUGGAAGAUGGAAGUUACAGCAAAUUUGUGUGUCCUCCAGUCUGUGACCACACACGCCUGCACCUGAUUGUGUGUCGGUGGAGUCCUGCAGAGUCCAGCUGCACAGUAAAUGAGCUUCGAGAGCUAAAAGAACAAACAGUCCUGAAGACAUCAGCACGACCAACGCCUCAGCAGCAGAGCUCCACUGACCUCAGCGUUACAACCCAAAUAAAGCAUGUCGGAAAUUCCCUGUUGUUCCAAGAAUACAGAUAAUGUGACUUCUGCCAAGCUAAUAAGUAGUAUAGAUGUGUUUCCUAAGAAAGCAGUAUUUUCAGUAUGAGAACUACAUCAAUU